AUUGAACGCUGGCGGCAGGCCUAACACAUGCAAGUCGAGCGGAGCGGCGGACGGGUGAGUAAGGCCUAGGAAUCUGCCUGGUAGUGGGGGAUAACGGUCUGAAAGGGGCGCUAAUACCGCAUACUAUAAGACGACUCUAGGUCGGAUUAGCUAGUUGGUGGGGUAAAGGCCUACCAAGGCUACGAUCCGUAACUGGUCUGGCAGGAUGAUCAGUCACACUGGAACUGAGACACGGUCCAGACUCCUACGGGAGGCAGCAGUGGGGAAUAUUGGACAAUGGGCGAAAGCCUGAUCCAGCCAUGCCGCGUGUGUGAAGAAGGUCUUCGGAUUGUAAAGCACUUUCAGUUGGGAGGCGUUACCCACAGAAUAAGCACCGGCUAACUCCGUGCCAGCAGCCGCGGUAAUAC
RNAcentral lists this ribosomal RNA (407 nucleotides) under uncultured bacterium. RNAcentral describes it as "partial 16S ribosomal RNA". It matches the Rfam family "Bacterial small subunit ribosomal RNA", at positions 30 to 526 of the family's 1533-position model. The record is from RNAcentral.